RNAcentral lists this ribosomal RNA (277 nucleotides) under uncultured prokaryote. Its description in RNAcentral is "partial 16S ribosomal RNA". It matches the Rfam family "Bacterial small subunit ribosomal RNA", at positions 524 to 801 of the family's 1533-position model. The record is from RNAcentral.
UACGUAUGGGGCGAGCGUUGUCCGGAAUCAUUGGGCGUAAAGGGUUCGUAGGCGGUUUAUUAAGUCGAGUGUGAAAGGUUGGGGCUCAACCCCAUAAAGCAUUCGAAACUGAUAAACUUGAGAUGUGGAGAGGAAAGUGGAAUUCCUAGUGUAGCGGUGACAUGCGUAGAUAUUAGGAGGAAUACCAGUAGCGAAGGCGACUUUCUGGACACAUACUGACGCUAAGGAACGAAAGCGUGGGGAGCAAACAGGAUUAGAUACCCUGGUAGUCCCUGAG